AAAUAAACAUCCCUAAAAUUCUAUAAAAUUUAAAAUAAGUAAAUAGACUUAAUUAAAUGAUUUUAGGAACAAUAUUUGAGCAAAACUCAUAUGCUCACAGGACUACUGUGUCCUCUUCUAUCCGGAGCUUGAUACUAUAACAGUUGUACACAUAGUUCCAAAUCAGUUUGGGGGGGGGGGGGGGGGAACCCCAUAGACUUUUCUUUAGUCUUCUUGUGGCUUUCUAGCUUCUCUCAUUCAAUUUUUUGCAAAGGCUAUCACAACCUAAUUAUCCGAAAUGGGAGGUAGUAACAUCCUUUUCCUCUGAACCAGUCUAUGAACUAUCUAAGCAACUCCGUACUUCCCCCAUUGGAUCUUGAAAUUGUCUUCCAUCCGUUUUUCUACCUUUUAGCUCCCGUAUUCUUCUUAGUGAAAGCAUCUGCAAGCUUAACGAUGAACCAAUUGAAUUUUCGGGUAGAAGGGAAUACCAUGUUAACACUCAUUUCGUGAUCAUCUCUCCAGACCUUUUCACUAGUACUAGUUCGAUCUCGGCGUUGUUAGGUUAUUUCCAUUAAACUUCUUUGGUAUUCACAGUGAGGCAGAGCUCGAUUUCCAAGAUUGAUGGGAGUAUUUGUUCAUAUCAAUUACUUUGACAAAAGGUGGAAAUCUCGGGAUUUAGUCGAUACACUUGUUUUGGUUCUUGAUCUGCUUCAAUAAAUUUCCUACAAGGUCAUAAUAGAAUUUUGUAAAUUUGUGUUACCGGUGGUACCAGAACCUCCUACUCCCGAAUCUCCGGGCAUUCCCUCCAUACCAGAUUCGGGGCACGAAAUUUAGGAUUUCAACAACUGGUUCUAAUCUUGGUGGAUGAACUGCUGGUGUUUCAGCAUUGGCGUUGCUAGCUAAGGUCAUCAUCACCUCUCUGAUCUGAUUGUUCCAUACAUGUUAUUGGGUUAUGAAACUUCUAAUUAUUUCUUCUAAUCGGGGUUGCACUCUUCCCCUGCUGGAAGACCUCUCGGAGGAUUAUGCCUUGACGGGCACGGUAAAUUUCUGAGGCUCUAGUCACCCAAACUUUCUCCUGUUGGUAAAGCUUAAUCCUUUUGUUGAAAUGGAUCAAUUGACUGGUUAGUGACUCCAGAUGUAUUCCUCCAAAUAACAAUUAAUAUGUUAGAAUCAAAAGAGAAUUAAGGAAGUGGUAGAACAAUGCAUUUUUAAUUGAACGCAUAAUUACAUGGACCCCACGAUAAGCACCAAACUGUUUAACUUAAAUUAUGACUAAUAGACUAAAUCAAUUAAAUUAAUAAAUUAGGCCUCAAAUAAUUAAUUCAAUCCAAUUAAGUUGAUCUUUGUUAAGAGAAGACUGAUAAGUGAAGCUGAUAAUUGUAAAUAAAAACAAUAUGGACAAGAACAAUGUGAAAGUAUUAAAAAAGAAAGAAAGAGCUUCUUAUAGUUGAUCCUUUUAUUGAUCUAGUAGCUUCUCGUGGUUAAAGAAGAGCAGUACUAAUUCCAUAAUAAUAGUAAUAAUGCGUGAAUAAGAAUAAGUACAAAUGAGGAAAGAGGGGUAUUUAUACUCUAAUGUUUACACAAUUGUUCUCCUAAUUUCUUGCCUAGCCAUUAUUGGCACUAUUUGCAGUAGACGCGAAUCUCGCCUGUUACGUUUUCAUGAGGCGUAACUGACGGGCUCAAGUAUGGUAAAUCCCGCAUAUCUCGGAUCCCUAUAUCGCCAAGUGAGUACCUAUCCGGACAUUUGUGGCCUCCCGAUAUGUUGAUUCCUAGGAUUUCCUUAUCUGAAACAAGUUAUACAACUCUAGAGACAUCGUAUGUAUUCCGGGCCUUCGGCUCAAGGGACUAAGGAUGCAAGACGUCUGACUGAGUAAUACUUGUCACGUGCCAUCCAUCCUACUAGCCAUGUGUCAUAGUCGUAUUUUACCGAUACAGUUCCCUAGAAUGUGCCUUAGUGAAUCCUUUCUUGUGCCAACUGAGAAAACCCCAGAGGAAGUUGUCCAUAUUGGAUAGUCAUCCGCCUCAUUCGACUCCACUCCCAUAUUCAAAAUAUGCUCCCUAAUACCUGGUGGAACCUGAAAAAUUGUUUGACCAAAAAGUGCAACUUCUGGUUAAAACGAUUAUAUUUGAGUAAUAACAGAUUAAACCUAGUUAAUGAUAAUGUCUCUAGAUGUGGGUUCCGAAAAUAUGGCUAAUGUUUAGACAGAUCUAGCAGAGAAUUGAUAGUAACAUUCAGUAAGUGUUUCAAAAGAUAUGAGUAAUAAUGGAGAAGUAACUAGCAAUAAAUAACAAUAAAUGGCAUUUAAGUAAAUAAGAGAAGUGGUUCACCCAAUAAACAAUGUACUAGGUGAUUGUUCCUCCUGACAAUGAUGAGUGACAGACAAAUCUUAAAACAUUCAAAAUAUUCUCGGAUCUGAUGGAAAAAUGUGGAAUAAUAUAAGCAAGAAUCUUGAUAAAAAUAUAGUCUUCGUAUCUUUACAAGAGAGAGUGAGAGAGAGAGAGUGAGAGAGAAUCUUUUAGCAAAGUCUGCUCUUAUCACAAUGAAUAUAACAUGCCUCUAUUCAAUAUCUUUUUUCUUAUUUAUAUGGGACAUACCCCCAACAAACCCUAAUAGUACAAGUGUAGAGAAUAUCCAAUGGAAUAUUCUCUUUAAUAUCCUAUUCUAACAAACUAGCCGUUACAGCUCUUUCUGCGGUGCUCGACCUCGACCAUCGUUUGCAUCUCGACCACGAGCCUCGCUAUUUCUUGGUCGACCUCGGCUGACUCUUUUCUCGAUGUUACUUUAUCCUAAGUAUUGAGACAGAUUUCGACCUAUACAGUUAGUCCCUCAAAAUUGGAUGAGCGAGUCGAGUAGUGACGUUUCUGACAAGAUAAAACUUCUUGAGAAAGGUCGGCCACUCGCGAAUUCCCACGGUGCGAGGGAGAACUCGACCAACCCAAUCAGAAAUAUCGCCGACCAAAGGAGGGGGCAUAGUCUUGGCAGCAUAAGAAGAGAAUCCGUGUUCAAAAUCUACGAUCGAAACAAGGAAAUCGAAUAUUUUAACGAAGAAAGGUUAAACGCUUGCGAGUGUAAUUCCAAGUCUCGGGAAAGCCAUCCGCGUUCGCCACCACGUCUUCGGUUCUAACAAAGAAGAAAUUGUGCCAGAUGCCGGAGUGUGACCUCGACCCCAGCCAGUUUCGCAUAUUUAGUAAGCAUCCUAAUAAGCUUGUAGAUACAUGGAGAAAGUUGAGCUAGGAAAAUACCAUAGUAACAGCAGAACUCCUCCACCAUUGGGAAAAGGGGAAGAGAGUAGCCAACAUAAAAAGAGAAUUGACAGUAGAAUUGGCAGUAGCAUUCAGUAAACCCACCGUCCCGGGUUGUGCGUUCUAUGCUUACCCUUUUCAUGUUGGCUACUCUCUUCCCCUUCUGCAUUUGGCGGAGGAGUUCUGCUGUUACUAUGGCGUUUGCCUGGCUCAUCUUUCUCCAUAAACCUACAAACUUAUUAGGAUGCUUACUAAAUAUGCGGAACUGGCCGGGGUCGAGGUCACGCAUCUUAUUUAGUUUAAUCAUGUUUGCCUGUUUGGCCUAGAUCGUUUUGGUAGAUGUUUGUAGAGAGGACCUAAGGAAGUCCAAUUACCAUACCAGAAAGUUGUAUUGCCUUUUCCCACAUGCUAUCAAAUUUUUUGUUCCAUAUCAUUCUUCAUAUCACAGAUAGCCUUCCAUACAUGAGACUGCCCAUUGUACCACCUCUUUAUCACUGGAUAAGAUAGAUUGUCUCCACAAGAAUUCUUGACUUUUAAACCUCACCGUAGUCUGGAGGUAAAAGCUAUUAUUUGUAUCUUCAAAAGUUCAAAAGAUUAAAUAUUCACAAAAGAUUCCAUAUAAUGGUUUGCGGUAAUAGAAUAGCAAAAUGUUAUAGGAACAUCUCACUGUGGUUCAAGAAUACACUAUGAACACAAGACUAAGAAGAAUAGUUGAAAGUCGGUAACUCACUACCAUGUAAGAACUUAUGAACAACUGCCAAUUAAUUUUGAGUUUGUUGUUGAUUGGUCUCCACAAAUUGCUGAGGUUUUACAAGUUUCUCAACACGCUGUUGGGACAUAUUAUUGCUAAAGCCACCAAAUUCACAUGACUAGUUGGAUGUCUAGACUCUGGACAUUGCAAAAACAGUGGAAGGGUAAACUCUACCACCUAAAUCUGCUGCUUCGCUCCAUAUACUUUUUUAAUUGUGUCAUUUGGAUAAACAUUUGAUAAUUUCAUUUAUUAAAAUCUUAGUUUAGCAGCAUCUAAUUGAUAAUCUUUUGGUGCUAGAAAAAUUUAACAUUGCAGCAUAACUACACCAAUAAAAGAGCAUCUUCUAUGCAGGCAGAAAUCUCAUGCUAACAUAUGUGCAAAUAUUUUAGAAAAAGAGACAUUGAAAUGGCUUAUUUCCUCAAGUCUUAUGUCAAAUGACAUACUCAUAAUAUUAAAAAUAGAGUCAUAAGCAUUAUCGAUGUAAUAACAUCAUAGAUUUUAAAAAAAACUAAAAUAACCAAACAAGCAAGGCUCUCAAGAUGUUGGUAAUUUCAUGCCAUAGUUGUAGUAUCAUCAGAUCCAUUUAGCAAUGGAUUUAACACUGCUCCAGUGAAAAGUACCGACCUUGUAAUCUCUUCUCUAAUCAUGAACAAGAAGGAUUGAUCAGCUACGAAUUUUUUUGGAGGACUUUGAUACAAACAACAUCCCAAAUCAUCUUCUGACUCAAAAGUAACAACAGCUGCCUCGGUACAUUUCUCAUCAAUUUCUACAAAUGCUUUCUGUAUUAUCAUGGACACAUAUAAAGAAACAUUUUUAUUUUCCACAACCUCUGUUAGGUCCUUGCAAGUCUUCUCGAAAGGUAGUGUCAUUCCCAUUUCCUGCAUUGCUUUUUCCCCUUCUUCUGUGGUGAAUGAGAAUUUGAACUUUGGGAUGCAAAAUGCAUCAAGGGUUUCUUUCCAUAGCUCGAAAUCUUGUGUAAAGAAGUUUGAAUCAGAGUUCACUUUCUUCAAUAAGCUUGGCAAUCCGUCCCUUUCAUUAGGAAGAAAGAAGUACAUGGAGAAGUCUUUUUUAUCAUCUUUUCCUUUUUCAUAAGAAAUUUUCACUGCUUGAUAACUUUCAAAUGAUCCAUAUAAAUAAUUAUGACAACCAGUCAUGAAAGGAACUGAAACCUUGUCUCCGUUGAGUAGGUAAAAAUCUUUGUUCUGAGUGAGCCUUUCAAUAAAAUUAUCUUUCCAUGUACCUUUGAAAUGUAAGGCGUUUCCAAGUAAGAGCUUUGUGUCUUCCUUGAUGUGCUUGGGCUUGAGAACUUGAUCAAUAAGGCCUUUUGUUGCAGACUUGGCCCAUGCAUUAGACCUCCUCCUAUAUUUAAGAGGAAUUAGCUUCUUCUACCACCUCCUCCUAUAUUUAAGAGGAAUUUACGCGUAAUACAACUUAUUUAGUACUUAAUUAAAUAAGUUACAACUACUUUUAGAAAAUUAUAUAAAAUAUAAUUUAUUUUAAUCUACAACUUUUCAUAUUCCUAAAAUCUCUCCCUUGAGAUUCUCUUACCUAAAACUAUCCUAAUAUAUCUCUCUUGAGAUUUACUCUCACCUAAAAUGUAUUUAUCUACAUUAAUUUUCUCUCAAUUUCUCCAUUAAAAGAUUCGAGUAUAUCCUAAUGUCCCUAACAUCUUUCCUCCUAUCCUUCCUCCAGCCCACUACAAAAUUCUUAUACCCUUCUUCAUACUCCAUUAUAGUAUAUUUUUAUCACUUAAUUUGGCUUCUGUGUACAAUUACUAAUGAUAUAUAGUAGUAUAUUAUAUAUUAUAUAUUCUAUACAUGAUAUUAUAUACUUAUAUAUGUGUAUAUAGUAUAACAUAAAUUAAAGGUACACUGUAAUAAAAUUAUUCUAUGUUGGAUUUUAAAAGUUUUACUUAAUAUUUAUAUAUUGUAUAAUUACUAUGAUAUAUAUGUAUUGCACAUUGUGUAUUAUGUAUUUAUAUAAAGUAUAAUUGUUAAACCUAAUAACUCCUCGUGUUUCUUGAAGAUGAUUUUCUCUAAUUAAAAUGAUACUGAUGGUGAUGAAUUGCAGUAGGAAAAUAUUCCUAUGAUAAGUAUAUCAAAGUGGUGAAUGAAAUUGAAAGAACAAAAGAAUCCCAAAAUGUAAAACUUAGUUUAAUGGAGGAUGCAACAUAUUUUUAUGGAGGAUGCCUCCUGGUAAUGAGAUAAUAUUGUCAUGGUAACCUAAAGUAUUUAUAGUAAUAAUCUUUAAUUAACGAAAAAGAGAAUUUUAAGGGACUAAUUAUGGAUAGGACUAAUUAUGGAUAUGGAUAGGACUAAUUAUGGAUACGUUUUUAAAAUUAGAUUCCUUUUUUAUAGGUACUUUGCCGUAUUUUAGGGUAUAUAUUUUAUACAUUUAUUACAUUUAAGUGAUAUGCGUUCUCAUUAUACACAAACUUAUUCACUCUAAUCAGAUGUAAAUUUUGACAAAGGUAUUAAUCCUUCUGAAAACAUAUCAAGCAAUGAAACGGAGUACCUUUUUUUUCAAAAUCCACACUUUUAGCCCUUGUCUUGUAGACAUUCUUGACAAGUUCUUGGUAAGACUUCUUUAGGCGAAGUUGUUGUUCCACCCAAAGUGCGCUAAGGAAGCACACAUCAGGACCCCCAUCACUAUUGGUCGUCGCUAUAGCCGCCAUAUCUAAGAACUUGGUAUUCAGAUAAUCGAUCUUCUCAACUGCAAGAUAUUCAAGCAUCUGUUUUAAAGUAGGUCCCGUUGCUUCGGCCGCCGUCAUAUUCAGUACGACAGUGUAAGAUAACGGAGACAACACUAUGUUCUCAGCAUUGAAGCCCUUUUGGAUCUCCUUCAGCAUAAGCUCACCAGUAACUUGCNNNNNNNNNNNNNNNNNNNNNNNNNUGCUUAAAGGUAAAUUAUUUCCAAAUAAAGAAAAAGAUCAUUCUUUUUUACACAAACUAAAAAGGAAAUAUGUUUUUCGUAGCUUCGUAUUUUUGCAGUUUUACUAUGCACUUACCUCUUAAAGUUCUAUUAUGGUUGAACUUCCUAACCUUUUUCGAAGCAGUUAUCAUUAUUUUCUUUUGCUGGCUAUUUCAAACUUUUGAGAAUUAUUUAGAUAUCAACAGUGCGGCCAGGAGGAAUAUCAUUAUUUCUUUUUGCAGGGUGAGUUGUUUCUAUCCCAGUGGCUGUGGA
Molecule: long non-coding RNA, 7156 nt
Filed under: Nicotiana tabacum (common tobacco)
Lineage: Eukaryota; Viridiplantae; Streptophyta; Magnoliopsida; Solanales; Solanaceae
Description: long non-coding RNA (NTAB_LNC011081)
Source: RNAcentral